Molecule: long non-coding RNA, 3567 nt
Organism: Tetranychus urticae (two-spotted spider mite)
Lineage: Eukaryota; Metazoa; Arthropoda; Arachnida; Trombidiformes; Tetranychidae
Source: RefSeq, a predicted model, not a curated record
AUUUAAUAUCAAAUUAAAACCUUUUACUUCAUCAUUUCGGUCUUAAGUUAGUUUCUGUAAGAUUUGAACAUUUUUCAUACAAUUAAGGGUGCUCUAUCGAUUGGUAAUGAAAUUUGUCUGGUGUAAAUCAGGCAGAAGCUGUCAUUGUUAUUUUUGAUUAGAUUAUUAUAGUAAAUGUUAAAGAUGGUUGAUCGAAACCUGAUCAAUAUUAGAUUUACUAAUAAAUUGAUUGUUUUGUCAAAUCAACUAAAAGAUGGCAAAUCUUCCAGUUAACUGCCAGACGUUGGUCUGAAUUUUGUUUUUAUUAUUUUAUUUCAUUUCAAUGGUCUAAUACCAUUGGAAUUUAUCUUUAAAUUAAUCAAUAGAUUCAGAUAUUUCAUUGUGAAAAAGCAUUAAAAUUGUAGAUGGAAAACAGUAAAAGAUGAAUUUGGAUCGUCGCAAGAGGAUGGUGAUAAUUUAUCAUAAGUAAUGUGUUUACUAUGGAUAAAAUUGAUUCAAAUAUUUUCCCGUCCUAUUUUAGUUUCCAUUGACUUGCAAAGAGGAAUCAUAUUUUACAAGUGGGUUACAUGACAAGAACCCAGAAAAGAUGAUAAAGUUGACACAAUCUACAGACUCAAGGAUGUUUCAUGUUAAUGUUAACCAAAAAAGCAAAUUUGUGACUCUCAUCUGUUGGUACCAACUCAAGGUUUACAACUCAACUUUCUGGUGGCUCUGUCAAUAUAAUAACAUUUACUAUCGUUGGAUUGAACAUGGUAAGAAAGCAAGAGUUGACUAUCGAGACAGUACAGUUAAGGAGAGGAGGCAACACAAAAAAAGACCCAAAAAUGAGUUCAAGAAGAUGGUUUCGAUGAAGAUGAUGAAGCCAGUGAUUAGGAUGGUAAUGAAGCUGAUGGUGAAGCUGUCUAUAGAGCUAGCGGUAUAGCUGGUGUAGCUUGUGGUGGUGAGGAAAACAAACCCAUACGGAAUGACUUGAGAUUAUAAUUUAAAGGCUUUACAUUUAUGAUUAUAAAUGAACGGUCAUAACAGCAAGUUAAACCAACUGACAGCAUAAAUAUAAGAUAAAAAAGCUAACCAAGUAGGCCAAAAUAAUGAGGAUUACUACACCAAUAACAAAAGCUGAAGCACAAAGCUCAAGUGAAACCAAACCAAGGAAAAGUUAUUGCAAGUACAUAAUAAUAUCCAUCCAUCUAAUACAUACAGACAAAGUGGAAAGCCUUAAAAAAACAGUUAACACUAUUGGUUAUGUUACACGUUAUGUACAUAUCUGGUUAUAAGGUACAAACAAUAUAAACCAUUUUUUGCCCAUCUUUUAAUAUGCUCUGGCCAACCCAAAAGUCGUAAACAAGUCAACUCAAGGACGGAGGAUAAAGAUCAUUCCAGCUGACUGCCUUAAACCCACCAUGGUUAUGGCACCCUCAACAGUAUCUUCGCCCUCUUUUUAGGAUUCUUGGUUCCUGUCUUUUCUCAGAAUGUAUACUCAUAAAGCAUUACAAAUCGAUAAUACAUUCAAACGGAACAUUGUGAUAAAUCAGAAUAACCUUGAUGAUCAUUCUGGGAGUGUAAUGUUAUUACAUCUUGAUUUUGCCUCUGACUCUCAUGUUCCUCGCUUUUUGCCUCUUUUUAUCACCAUUUUUCUUUCUGAAUUUUCAUGGUGUAAUAUGAUUCUUUUAUGAGUAUUAACUACAUUCUAACCUUUUCACUGUAAACUCUUUUUUUGCUAUCUUUUAUUUGUUUCCAUAUUAAUGGAAAUUUCUGUUCCACAUAACCAUUUCAAUGUAAUUUGUUUUCCCUUUUUUAUGUCUACAGCUUUUAAAUAUCACUCAUAAUGGUGAACAAUUUUCAAUGUAAAACUUGCAUUCGUUGUCUUCAGUCUUGAAUUUAUGAAAUAUUGACUUUGAUUGUUGGGAAAGGAAGGAAACAAAAUUAGUAUUUACUCUCGAUUGACUUUUUAUUGGUAAAAAUUUUCUCCUUUUUGUUUCACUCUUCAUCAGUUGAUAGACAGAAAUCAUUUUCAUGAUCAGCUUCAUCCCUGUAAACAUUGCAUUUAACAUCAUUUUUUGUUUUCUUUUCAUCUAAAAGCUCUUUCUUCAUCAAGGUUAUGAGGAAGACUUAAUGUCAAAGUUGGUUGAACAUAACAAAUUAUCGACUUCUUUUUUGGUCCCAAAUUCAGAACUAGGUCAUUGUCUAUGUUAACAACCAUUUCCUUAUGAAAUAUCGCAGCAAUUUUUGUUUCUCUCAGCAUUUUCCUUCUUUUUGUCGUUUUGUGAUUCCUUUGUAAAUUUUCAAGACAACUUAUUCACUAUUUAGUUGAUUAUCUUUUGUUAAAUCACCAGUAAUUUACCUUUUUCCUUACAAUUCCUUAAUUUGUUCCUCUUCUUCACCAUCCUCAACAUCAUAAUCUUACCACCAUCUUUCCCUUGAAGAGUCAGUUUUAUAAAUAUUCAAACAUUCUUAUUGUCAACGUUAACCUUAAUUAAUGAUGGUUAAUUAAUCAUCAACCUAAAAGAUUGAGCUUUUAAUCGAGAAAGUAAAGCCACACUAUUUAAAUCAAAUCAAUCAAUCAAUAAUUUAACGCCUCAAGUCAAAAAUAAAUUUCACUCGCUUAAUUAGCAUAAGACCCCUAAUCAUAUGGCUUUUUCCCUCGCAUUCAAAAGCACAUUGUUACAUAAGUUGGUCAACUUUCUUUUCUUUUAUAAUUAAUUUAUUAGUGUUAAUUGUUUUUUAUAGACAUUUUGUUUUUACCAAGUUCUGUACUGAGUUUCACUGAAGUUAAUUGUUUGUGAUUCAACUUUUUUUUAAAACCAAGGGAAAUGGAAAGUCAAGUGAUCUAUUGGCAAAAACCUUUUUACCUUUUUCCUGUUUCUCUCCAGAGAAUCAGCAUCCACUAGGAUUAACCAUAGCAACGGAAUUUAGAUGAUAAAACUCAAUCGAUAUCGUGUUAAAACCUUACAACCAAAAGAUGCAAAGAUUGACUUUUAAAUAGCGUCACACAGAAGAGACUGUCUAGGAUAAUGUGGAGUUGGGAAUACAAAAGGAGAACAAUAAGGAAGAAAUGGAAAAAUCUCUUUAUUUAACUCUAUUAGAAGAACGGACAUGUUGCCAAUGAUGAUAAUGGCGAUGCUGAUGUAGAUUAGGAUGAUGUCGAUGUUGAUACAAAAAGCUUCCUCCUUCUUGGUCAUCAUCAUCUUCCGCUGCUGUUGCUGCUGCAUCUUGAGGGAUCACGGCUCGUGGUUUAUGAUCCAUGGUAAAAGGUGGUAAAAGAUUGUGACUCACUUCAACAAUUUAUUCCACUAUUUAAUCACUUCUUUCACUUGAUCAUCGGCAGCAACUUGUAACCAAUCAAUCUACAUACCGACAACCUUUUAAUACUGAAGCAAAAUUCGUAUGAUUCAUUCAUAUUUUUUUCAUUUCACUGUUUUUAACUGUUGAUAAAUUCAAAUUUAUUUUGAUUUGAUUAACCCGUAACCAAAACCAUUCUCAUUUAAACUUGUCAAGUUUAACAAGGUUCAAACCUAAAUUGAAGGUUUUUAUUGAUAAUCUAAUAAAUUGACUAUUACAAUAACCAAA